GUUUGGAUUAAUGGAGUGGAUUAAAAAACGUACACUCACUUAAGAGCAUUUCAUGCUCCUAAACUUGGAAACUGUCUGACCUGAGCCCUGGGACCAUUCCUCAGGACUACCUGACCUAAUGACUCCUUGCUGUCCCCAGUCCACCUGGACGUGCUGCUGCUCCAGUUUCAUCUGUUCUGCCUGUGGCUAUGGAACCCUGACCUGUUAACUGGACGUACUACCUUGUCCCGGACCUGCUGUUUUCGACUCUCUCUCUCUACCGCACCUGCUGUCUCUAACUCAAUGCUCGGCUAUGAAAAUCCAACUGACAUUUACUCCUGAGGUG
Molecule: long non-coding RNA, 325 nt
Filed under: Salmo salar (Atlantic salmon)
Lineage: Eukaryota; Metazoa; Chordata; Actinopteri; Salmoniformes; Salmonidae
Description: lncRNA (ENSSSAG00000088374.1)
Source: RNAcentral